This 1199-nucleotide ribosomal RNA is filed under the name Novastoa pholetor. RNAcentral's name for it is "partial 16S ribosomal RNA". It matches the Rfam family "Bacterial large subunit ribosomal RNA", at positions 559 to 2597 of the family's 2925-position model. The record is from RNAcentral. Lineage: Eukaryota; Metazoa; Mollusca; Gastropoda; Littorinimorpha; Vermetidae.
UAUGUGUAAAAACGUUUAUGGUGUGUUUAUUAUUCAUAAUAAAUACUAGUAAAAAUAACGGAAAUGUAUUAUUAGCAGAAAAAGUACUGAAAAGGAAGUAUGUGUUAAAGAUUAUUAAGUAUAGCCAUAAGCUAGUACCUUUUGUAUCAUGGUUUAGUGAGAGAUAAGGCUAAAGUAGUGCUUCUCGAAGUUAGGGGAGCUUUUUUGCUUUUAGAUGUUAGGCAAAUUUAUUAUUAAGUGUGGCAUAACUUAAGUAAAAAAGCAAAAAAGGUGUGAAAUUCUUUUCGUUCCUAGUGAUAGCUAGUUUCUACAAAAAGACAUAAAGUGUCGUGGUUUGGUGUAUAUUGCAGUUAUAAUUAUACUGUAAUUGGCAAAGGCCAGUGAGAUAGUAGAGGAUAAGCUCUACUAAGGCAGGACCGUGUGAUGUGUUAUAGCGCUAAGCUUAAAAUUAGCUAAGAAAAAUGCAGGCUGUUAUAGGUGAUAAGUGUAAAGUCAUCAUAAGAUUUAGUUUCAUAUAAGAAAAUGUAGAUGUGCUAGUAAAUAAAAUGUUCAGUAUUAAUUAUGCUAAAAUGAGUAUUACGUCUUAGAAUUAAUCGUGUAUUAAAAAUAGAAAGUGCAAUAUGAAAAAUCUAAGUAGUUAGUAAAAUUAAAUUUUCAAAAGGAAUUCGGCAAAUUUAAUCCUUGCCUGUUUAGCAAAAACAUGGCUCUUUGCUGGCUAUAAAGAGUUGAGCCUGCCCAGUGAAAUUUUUUAAACGGCCGCAGUACUUUGACUGUGCUAAGGUAGCAUAAUCACUUGCCUUUUAAUUGGAGGCUAGAAUGAAAGGUUUGUCAGGGAUUGACUGUCUCUAGAGAAAAAAUAAAAAUUAAUAUUUAGGUCAAAAAGCCUAGAUACCAUUAUUAGACGAGAAGACCCUAUCGAGCUUUAUUAAUUGUUUGGAGAGGGUGUUAAUUGUCCAGGCAUUAGUUUGGUUGGGGCGACAAAGGAGAAAAUAAAGCCUCCUUUAUAUGUAGAGGAAAGUAAAUAGCUAACGAUCCAUUAUUAAAAUAAUGAUAAUAAGAAAAAGUUACCGUAGGGAUAACAGCAUAAUUUUUUUUGAGAGUCCGUAUCGAAAAAAAAGUUUGUGACCUCGAUGUUGGACUAGGAUAGCCUAAAGGUGCAGAAGCUUUUGAGGGUGGGUCUGUUCGACCCUAAAAAUCCU